UACAGAGGGGGCAAGCGUUGUUCGGAAUUACUGGGCGUAAAGGGCGCGUAGGCGGCCUUCUAAGUCGAACGUGAAAUCCCUGGGCUCAACCCAGGAACUGCGUCCGAUACUGGAAGGCUUGAAUCCGGGAGAGGGAUGCGGAAUUCCAGGUGUAGCGGUGAAAUGCGUAGAUAUCUGGAGGAACACCGGUGGCGAAGGCGGCAUCCUGGACCAACACUGACGCUGAGGAGCGAAAGCCAGGGGAGCAAACGGG
This 253-nucleotide ribosomal RNA is filed under the name uncultured bacterium. RNAcentral describes it as "partial 16S ribosomal RNA". It matches the Rfam family "Bacterial small subunit ribosomal RNA", at positions 524 to 776 of the family's 1533-position model. The record is from RNAcentral.